This 98-nucleotide ribosomal RNA is filed under the name Campylobacter jejuni. RNAcentral describes it as "partial 16S ribosomal RNA". It matches the Rfam family "Bacterial small subunit ribosomal RNA", at positions 1441 to 1533 of the family's 1533-position model. Lineage: Bacteria; Pseudomonadati; Campylobacterota; Epsilonproteobacteria; Campylobacterales; Campylobacteraceae. The record is from RNAcentral.
CUAAACUAGUUACCGUCCACAGUGGAAUCAGCGACUGGGGUGAAGUCGUAACAAGGUAACCGUAGGAGAACCUGCGGUUGGAUCACCUCCUUUCUAGA